AUACGUAGGUGACAAGCGUUAUCCGGAUUUACUGGGCGUAAAGGGCGUGUAGGCGGUCUUGCAAGUCAGAAGUGAAAUUCCUGAGCUCAACUCGGGCGCUGCUUCUGAAACUGCAGGACUUGAGUGCUGGAGGGGAUAGCGGAAUUCCUAGUGGAGCGGUAAAAUGCGCAGAUAUUAGGAAGAACACCGGUGGCGAAGGCGGCUAUCUGGACAGUAACUGACGCUGAGGCGCGAAAGCGUGGGGAGCAAACAGGAUUAGAUACCCUGGUAGUCCACGCUGUAAACGAUGAUUACUAGGUGUGUGGAGAUUGACCCUCUACGUGCCGGAGUUAACACAAUAAGUAAUCCACCUGGGGAGUACGACCGCAAGGUUGAAACUCAAAUGAAUUGACGGGG
Molecule: ribosomal RNA, 396 nt
Filed under: uncultured bacterium
Lineage: Bacteria
Description: partial 16S ribosomal RNA
Rfam family: Bacterial small subunit ribosomal RNA
Source: RNAcentral